This 497-nucleotide ribosomal RNA is filed under the name uncultured bacterium. Its description in RNAcentral is "partial 16S ribosomal RNA". It matches the Rfam family "Bacterial small subunit ribosomal RNA", at positions 28 to 507 of the family's 1533-position model. The record is from RNAcentral.
GAUGAACGCUGGCGGCGUGCCUAAUACAUGCAAGUCGAGCGAACAGACGAGGAGCUUGCUCCUCUGACGUUAGCGGCGGACGGGUGAGUAACACGUGGAUAACCUACCUAUAAGACUGGGAUAACUUCGGGAAACCGGAGCUAAUACCGGAUAAUAUAUUGAACCGCAUGGUUCAAUAGUGAAAUGGGGUUUUGCUGUCACUUAUAUAUGGAUCCGCUCCGCAUUAGCUAGUUGGUAAGGUAACGGCUUACCAAGGCAACGAUGCGGAGCCGACCUGAGAGGGUGACCGGCCCCACUGGAACAGAGACACGGCCCAGAAUCCUACGGGAGGCAGCAGUAGGAAAUCUUCCGCCAUGGGCGAAAGCUUGACGGAGCAACGCCGCGUGAGUGAUGAAGGUCUUCUGAUCGUAAAACUCUGUUAUUAGGGAAGAAAAAAUGUGUAAGUAACUAUGCACGUCUUGACGGUACCUAAUCAGAAAGCCACGGCUAACUACGUG